GUCCAUGCCUCGACGGGUCAGAGCUGUUUUGGCGGCACAAGUGGGACGUACACGAUAUUAGGACGCAACUCUGGAGAGAAACAGUUUACCUAUGGGACAGAGAUAUCUUCUUCAGCUUCACAGUGGAGACGUUAUACAACAUGUCUAACUGUAAAGAAGAUGCUCUUUUUACUCGUGUUCAACUAUUUAUAAUCUGUUACUGUAUGUUGUAUUUAUUGUCAUUUAUUUACUUUGCUUUUUGUUUUGUUUUUUGUACAUUGAAGUGAAAUGUCUUCCCAUUUUUAAUUUAUAUUUGUCUUCUAUAACAAAUUUAGAAGACCAAAAAAAAAAAAAAAAGAAACGUCCUUUGACUUUUUGGUUUCUUUUAUUAUUUAUGUGUAAUUUAGUACAUUUCACUACUAUACAUACAACUUCAUGAGCAAAAGAAUAAAACUCAGACACACA
This is a long non-coding RNA of Ictalurus punctatus (channel catfish), 444 nucleotides long. The record is from Ensembl. NCBI's taxonomy places the organism in Eukaryota, Metazoa, Chordata, Actinopteri, Siluriformes, Ictaluridae.